This 463-nucleotide ribosomal RNA is filed under the name uncultured soil bacterium. Its description in RNAcentral is "bacterial SSU rRNA". It matches the Rfam family "Bacterial small subunit ribosomal RNA", at positions 26 to 526 of the family's 1533-position model. The record is from RNAcentral.
AGAACGAACGCUGGCGGCAUGCCUAAUACAUGCAAGUCGAACGAACUCUUCGGAGUUAGUGGCGCACGGGUGCGUAACGCGUGGGAAUCUGCCCCUUGGUUCGGAAUAACAGUUGGAAACGACUGCUAAUACCGGAUGAUGACGAAGGUCCAAAGAUUUAUCGCCAAGGGAUGAGCCCGCGUAGGAUUAGCUAGUUGGUGAGGUAAAGGCUCACCAAGGCAACGAUCCUUAGCUGGUCUGAGAGGAUGAUCAGCCACACUGGGACUGAGACACGGCCCAGACUCCUACGGGAGGCAGCAGUAGGGAAUAUUGGACAAGUGGGACGAAAGCCUGAUCCAGCAAUGCCGCGUGAGUGAUGAAGGCCUUAGGGUUGUAAAGUCUCUUUACCGAGAUAGAAUAAUGACAGUAGUCGGAGAAAGUAACGCCCCGGACUAACGUCCCGCGACCCGAGCCACGGACCGAC